UACGAAGGGGGCAAGCGUUGUCCGGAAUCAUUGGGCGUAAAGCGCGCGUAGGCGGCCUCGUAAGUCCGCUGUAAAAGUCACAGGCUCAACCUGUGAACGCCGGUGGAUACUGCGAGGCUAGAGUCCGGAAGAGGCGAGUGGAACUCCUGGUGUAGCGGUGGAAUGCGCAGAUAUCAGGAAGAACACCAACGGCGAAGGCAGCUCGCUGGGACGGUACUGACGCUGAGGCGCGAAAGCGUGGGGAGCGAACAGG
This 253-nucleotide ribosomal RNA is filed under the name uncultured bacterium. Its description in RNAcentral is "partial 16S ribosomal RNA". It matches the Rfam family "Bacterial small subunit ribosomal RNA", at positions 524 to 776 of the family's 1533-position model. The record is from RNAcentral.